This 460-nucleotide ribosomal RNA is filed under the name uncultured bacterium. Its description in RNAcentral is "partial 16S ribosomal RNA". It matches the Rfam family "Bacterial small subunit ribosomal RNA", at positions 338 to 795 of the family's 1533-position model. The record is from RNAcentral.
CCUACGGGUGGCAGCAGUGAGGAAUAUUGGUCAAUGGCCGGAAGGCUGAACCAGCCAUGCCGCGUGAAGGUCAGUGCCCUAUGGGCGUUAAACUUCUUUUGUGCGGGAGCAAUAAUGGUCACGUGUGGCCAGACGAGAGUACCGUACGAAUAAGCAUCGGCUCACUCCGUGCCAGCAGCCGCGGUAAUUCGGGGGAUGCAAGCGUUAUCCGGAGUUAUUGGGUUUAAAGGGUGCGUAGGCUGCGAGGUAAGUCAGCGGUGAAAUGCCCCCGCUCAACGGGGUGAAGUGCCAUUGAUACUGCCUGGCUGGAAUGCGGAUGCGGUGGGAGGAAUGUGUGGUGUAGCGGUGAAAUGCAUAGAUAUCACACAGAACACCGAUUGCGAAGGCAUCUCACGAAUCCGCGAUUGACGCUGAUGCACGAAAGCGUGGGUAUCAAACAGGAUUAGAUACCCCUGUAGUC